RNAcentral lists this non-coding RNA (25 nucleotides) under Cricetulus griseus (Chinese hamster). Lineage: Eukaryota; Metazoa; Chordata; Mammalia; Rodentia; Cricetidae. The record is from RNAcentral.
GUAGAGAAGAUAGCAAAAUAGAAGA